RNAcentral lists this transfer RNA (89 nucleotides) under Drepanopeziza brunnea f. sp. 'multigermtubi' MB_m1. Its description in RNAcentral is "Marssonina brunnea f. sp. 'multigermtubi' MB_m1 tRNA". It matches the Rfam family "tRNA". From Rfam's summary of the family: Transfer RNA (tRNA) molecules are approximately 80 nucleotides in length. Lineage: Eukaryota; Fungi; Ascomycota; Leotiomycetes; Helotiales; Drepanopezizaceae. The record is from Rfam by way of RNAcentral.
GCCCGGGUAGCUCAAUCGGUAGAGCGUGUGGCUCUUAUGACAACAAAUAGAUCACCUCAAGGUCGUGGGUUCGAGCCCCACCUCGGGCU